GAUGAAGAACGUAGCGAAAUGCGAUAAGUAAUGUGAAUUGCAGAAUUCAGUGAAUCAUCGAAUCUUUGAACGCACAUUGCGCCCGCUAGUAUUCUGGCGGGCAUGCCUGUCCGAGCGUCAUUUCAACCCUCAAGCCCCCGGGCUUGGUGUUGGGGAUCGGCGAGCCUCCGCGCCCGCCGUCCCCUAAAUCUAGUGGCGGUCUCGCUGUAGCUUCCUCUGCGUAGUAGCACACCUCGCACUGGGAAACAGCGCGGCCACGCCGUUAAACCCCCAAAUUCUGAACGUUUGACCUCGGAUCAGGUAGGAAUACCCGCUGAACUUAAGCAUAUCAAUAAGCGGAGGA
Molecule: unclassified non-coding RNA, 343 nt
Filed under: soil metagenome
Description: partial contains 5.8S ribosomal RNA, internal transcribed spacer 2, and large subunit ribosomal RNA
Rfam family: 5.8S ribosomal RNA (bases 1-120)
Source: RNAcentral